RNAcentral lists this ribosomal RNA (481 nucleotides) under uncultured bacterium. RNAcentral describes it as "partial 16S ribosomal RNA". It matches the Rfam family "Bacterial small subunit ribosomal RNA", at positions 28 to 507 of the family's 1533-position model. The record is from RNAcentral.
GAUGAACGCUGGCGGCGUGCUUAACACAUGCAAGUCGAACGAAGCACUUUAUUUGAUUUCCUUCGGGACUGAUUAUUUUGUGACUGAGUGGCGGACGGGUGAGUAACGCGUGGGUAACCUGCCUUGUACAGGGGGGUAACAGUUGGAAACGGCUGCUAAUACCGCAUAAGCGCACAGCAUCGCAUGAUGCAGUGUGAAAAACUCCGGUGGUAUAAGAUGGACCCGCGUUGGAUUAGCUAGUUGGUGAGGUAACGGCCCACCAAGGCGACGAUCCAUAGCCGACCUGAUAGGGUGACCGGCCACAUUGGGACUGAGACACGGCCCAAACUCCUACGGGAAGCAGCAGUGGGGAAUAUUGCACAAUGGGCGAAAGCCUGAUGCAGCGACGCCGCGUGAGCGAAGAAGUAUUUCGGUAUGUAAAGCUCUAUCAGCAGGGAAGAUAAUGACGUUACCUGACUAAGAAGCACCGGCUAAAUACGUG